AGUGAACGCUGGCGGCGUGCUUAACACAUGCAAGUCGAACGAGAACGGAUUAUAGCUUGCUAUAAUUGUCAGCUAAGUGGCGCACGGGUGAGUAAUAUAUAGGUAACGUGCCCCAAAGAAGAGGAUAACAGAUGGAAACGUCUGCUAAGACUCUAUAUGCCUUUAUGACAAAAGUCAGCAAGGGAAAUAUUUAUAGCUUUGGGAUCGGCCUGUACAGUAUCAGUUAGUUGGUGAGGUAAUGGCUCACCAAGACAAUGACGCUUAACUGGUUUGAGAGGAUGAUCAGUCACACUGGAACUGAGACACGGUCCAGACUCCUACGGGAGGCAGCAGUGGGGAAUAUUGCACAAUGG
RNAcentral lists this ribosomal RNA (353 nucleotides) under uncultured bacterium. RNAcentral describes it as "bacterial SSU rRNA". It matches the Rfam family "Bacterial small subunit ribosomal RNA", at positions 29 to 374 of the family's 1533-position model. The record is from RNAcentral.